AUGAACGCUGGCGGCGUGCCUAAUACAUGCCAGUCGAGCGAACAGAUGAGGAGCUUGCUCCUCUGACGUUAGCGGCGGACGGGUGAGUAACACGUGGAUAACCUACCUAUAAGACUGGGAUAACUUCGGGAAACCGGAGCUAAUACCGGAUAAUAUUUUGAACCGCAUGGUUCAAUAGUGAAAGACGGUUUUGCUGUCACUUAUAGAUGGAUCCGCGCCGCAUUAGCUAGUUGGUAAGGUAACGGCUUACCAAGGCAACGAUGCGUAGCCGACCUGAGAGGGUGAUCGGCCACACUGGAACUGAGACACGGUCCAGACUCCUACGGGAGGCAGCAGUAGGGAAUCUUCCGCAAUGGGCGAAAGCCUGACGGAGCAACGCCGCGUGAGUGAUGAAGGUCUUCGGAUCGUAAAACUCUGUUAUUAGGGAAGAACAAAUGUGUAAGUAACUAUGCACGUCUUGACGGUACCUAAUCAGAAAGCCACGGCUAACUACGUG
This 496-nucleotide ribosomal RNA is filed under the name uncultured bacterium. RNAcentral describes it as "partial 16S ribosomal RNA". It matches the Rfam family "Bacterial small subunit ribosomal RNA", at positions 29 to 507 of the family's 1533-position model. The record is from RNAcentral.